This 509-nucleotide ribosomal RNA is filed under the name uncultured bacterium. Its description in RNAcentral is "bacterial SSU rRNA". It matches the Rfam family "Bacterial small subunit ribosomal RNA", at positions 29 to 524 of the family's 1533-position model. The record is from RNAcentral.
AGUGAACGCUGGCGGCAGGCCUAAUACAUGCAAGUCGAACGGCAGCACAGCAGAGCUUGCUCUGUGGGUGGCGAGUGGGCGGACGGGUGAGGAAUACAUGGGAAUCUGCCCAGUCGUGGGGGAUAACGUAGGGAAACUUACGCUAAUACCGCAUGCGCCCUUCGGGGGAAAGCCGGGGACCGUAAGGCCUGGCGCGAUUGGAUGAGCCCAUGUCGGAUUAGCUAGUUGGCGGGGUAAAGGCCCACCAAGGCGACGAUCCGUAGCUGGUCUGAGAGGAUGAUCAGCCACACUGGAACUGAGACACGGUCCAGACUCCUACGGGAGGCAGCAGUAGGGAAUAUUGGACAAUGGGCGCAAAGCCUGAUCCAGCCAUGCCGCGUGAGUGAAGAAGGCCCUCGGGUUGUAAAGCUCUUUUGUCCGGAAAGAAAAGCGCCGGGUUAAUACCCUGGUGUCCUGACGGUACCGGAAGAAUAAGCACCGGCUAACUUCGUGCCAGCAGCCGCGGUAAU